AUUCCAGCUCCAAUAGCGUAUACUAAAGUUGUUGCAGUUAAAAAGCUCGUAGUUGGAUUUCUAAUCUCUCUUGGGGUUCCUUUUCUAAAGAAAUGUGCGACCAUUCAAGAGAGAUUAUCCUCGUGCCUAGCCUUUCUCACUUUCAUUAGUCAGGAAGGGGACGCACGUCAUUUACUGUGAGCAAAAUAGAGUGUUCAAAGCAGGCUUAGGCCAUGAAUAUAUUAGCAUGGAAUAAUAAGAUAGGACCUUGGUCUAUUUUGUUGGUUUACAUUCCAUGGUAAUGAUUAAUAGGGAUAGUUGGGGGUAUUCGUAUUCAAUUGUCAGAGGUGAAAUUCUUGGAUUUAUGGAAGACGAACUACUGCGAAAGCAUUUACCAAGGAUGUUUUCAUUG
Molecule: ribosomal RNA, 391 nt
Filed under: Chrysophyceae sp.
Lineage: Eukaryota; Chrysophyceae
Description: partial small subunit ribosomal RNA
Rfam family: Eukaryotic small subunit ribosomal RNA
Source: RNAcentral